Molecule: non-coding RNA, 466 nt
Filed under: Pan troglodytes (chimpanzee)
Lineage: Eukaryota; Metazoa; Chordata; Mammalia; Primates; Hominidae
Source: RNAcentral
GCCCUUCAUGUGGGGCUGAAGUCUUAAGACCUGGAGAGCAGCCCCAAGGGUGGAGAAGCGGCUGCUGAAGGGAUCAGCAUGCGCUGGCACAGGAAGUCUGUUUUCCAUGUGUCUGGAACCCAGCCGAAUCUUCCUGGGGUAAUUUUAACCAGUAUCCACUCUAGAACAAUACCAAAAAAGCAAGACUGUGUUGGGCUGGAGGAAAGGCAGUAAUCAACUCCAUGUUCCACAUGAGGAAACUGAAGAUCAUGGAAGGCAAGUCGAGAGCCCCAAGGUUAUCCAGCUUCAAGGUCACCAGUCACCCAGCUUCCUUCUUUCGUGCAGCCAGAUGCCCAUCCCAGUACUAGGUUGCGCUGUGGGGAUUGUGGAGUAGCUUAAGGCCUCCCUCUGCCUGCCCCACCCCCACUGUGUUUAUAUUGUUGGGAAACUUAAUCCACGGAAAUAAAGUGUGGAUUAUUUUUAUUGA